Molecule: ribosomal RNA, 254 nt
Filed under: uncultured bacterium
Lineage: Bacteria
Description: partial 16S ribosomal RNA
Rfam family: Bacterial small subunit ribosomal RNA
Source: RNAcentral
UACGUAGGGUGCGAGCGUUGUCCGGAAUUAUUGGGCGUAAAGAGCUCGUAGGCGGUGUGUCGCGUCGGCCGUGAAAACCUGCAGCUUAACUGUGGGCUUGCGGUCGAUACGGGCAUCACUGGAGUUCGGCAGGGGAGACUGGAAUUCCUGGUGUAGCGGUGAAAUGCGCAGAUAUCAGGAGGAACACCAAUAGCGAAGGCAGCUCGCUGGGACGUUACUGACACUGAGGCGCGAAAGCGUGGGGAGCGAACAGG